AGGAUGAACGCUAGCGGCAGGCCUAACACAUGCAAGUCGAGGGGUAGAACACUUCGGUGUUUGAGACCGGCGCACGGGUGCGUAACGCGUAUGCAAUCUACCUURUACAGGGGAAUAGCCCAGAGAAAUUUGGAUUAAUGCCCCAUAGYAUAUAGCCUUSGCAUGUAGGUKAUAUUAAAGUUCCAACGGUAYAAGAUGAGCAUGCGUCCCAUUAGUUAGUUGGUAAGGUAACGGCUUACCAAGACGAUGAUGGGUAGGGGUCCUGAGAGGGAGAUCCCCCACACUGGUACUGAGACACGGACCAGACUCCUACGGGAGGCAGCAGUGAGGAAUAUUGGUCAAUGGUCGCAAGACUGAACCAGCCAUGCCGCGUGCAGGAAGACGGUCCUAUGGAUUGUAAACUGCUUUUAUACAGGAAGAAACCCUCCCACGUGUGGGAGCUUGACGGUACUGUAGGAAUAAGGAUCGGCUAACUCCGUGCCAGCAGCCGCGGUAAUACGGAGGAUCCAAGCGUUAUCCGGAAUCAUUGGGUUUAAAGGGUCCGUAGGCGGUCUUAUAAGUCAGUGGUGAAAGCCCAUCGCUCAACGAUGGAACUGCCAUUGAUACUGUAAGACUUGAAUGCUUAGGAAGUAACUAGAAUAUGUAGUGUAGCGGUGAAAUGCUUAGAUAUUACAUGGAAUACCAAUUGCGAAGGCAGGUUACUACUAAGUGAUUGACGCUGAUGGACGAAAGCGUGGGGAGCGAACAGGAUUAGAUACCCUGGUAGUCCACGCCGUAAASGAUGGAUACUAGCUGUUCGGCGCAAGUUGAGUGGCUAAGCGAAAGUGAU
This 829-nucleotide ribosomal RNA is filed under the name Flavobacterium cucumis. Its description in RNAcentral is "bacterial SSU rRNA". Lineage: Bacteria; Pseudomonadati; Bacteroidota; Flavobacteriia; Flavobacteriales; Flavobacteriaceae. The record is from RNAcentral.